RNAcentral lists this ribosomal RNA (253 nucleotides) under uncultured bacterium. Its description in RNAcentral is "partial 16S ribosomal RNA". It matches the Rfam family "Bacterial small subunit ribosomal RNA", at positions 524 to 776 of the family's 1533-position model. The record is from RNAcentral.
UACGGAGGGUGCACGCGAUGUCCGGAUUUAUUGGGUUUAAAGGGAGCGUAGGCGGCCUUGUAAGUCAGUGGUGAAAUCCAGCAGCUUAACUGUUGCAGGGCCAUUGAUCCUGCAGGGCUUGAGUGCUGAUGAGGUCGGCGGAAUUGACGGUGUAGCGGUGAAAUGCAUAGAUAUCGUCAAGACCCCCGAUUGCGAAGGCAGCUUACUGGGCAGUAACUGACCCUGAGGCACGAAAGCGUGGGGAUCAAACAGG